CCUGCCUCACCGAUUAAUAUCUGGGGGAUUAUCCUAACCCUGCUCCAGUGGUCUUCGGUGCUGUUUUGAACUCAGGAUGGAGUUGAAGAAAAUUAGGAAGGUCUGUGAGUCCCGAACUUCAUGCAGCAUGGAGCAGUACGAGCUGGAGCCUCCUCUGGCUGAUCAUCAGGCUGAAGUCAACCACCGUGUUGUUAGUUGGAAACUGGCCAGGUUUGCAGCUGAGGCGUCAACACAAGCUGUCUGUGAGCAAGAAUCAGCACCAAUCUCUGAGAUUAUAAAGAAAGCUGAAUAUCAAAUUUCAUCACAAAUACAUACAUGUUAUUGCUGCUCACCUGGAGCUUCCUACAGGCAGAAAGAAGCAUUUCCAGGGAAUGACGGAUUUCACUUAUCUUCAACAGCUGUUUUGAAAUGGACACAGAGAUACUUAAGAGAACACGUUUAGACUAGACUCCCGCUUACAGAUGAUUAAAAUUAGAUGAGAUCCAUUCUUUAUGACGGUUCUCAAAUUUUAGUUCUUUCUUCAAAUCUUUUGUGGACAGCUCAAACAAUUUCCUACAAGUUUUCCUUCCUCUAUGUGUUAAGGAAAAAUUUCACUGUUCUAGCUUAGUGGAGACUCAAGCAGAUAUUUGCUGUGCCAGGCCUGAUUGCUUUGGGCAACUCUCAUUGGAUGGCUCUUGGAAGGGUGCACAAGAUAAGAAGGUGCCCUGGGCUUCAUAGAAUCCAAUUGCAUAAUGCCUUAUCUAAGUUUUUGAUUAUGUAGAUUUACUUCAAAACUAAGUGCAUUCAGACAAUUUCUACAAGUGUGCAUGCCAAAAGAUCUGUUCUGUAAUACAUUGGUGCAAUCUGUU
Molecule: long non-coding RNA, 848 nt
Filed under: Gallus gallus (chicken)
Lineage: Eukaryota; Metazoa; Chordata; Aves; Galliformes; Phasianidae
Description: lncRNA (ENSGALG00010018905.1)
Source: RNAcentral